AUGGGCUACCCGAGGCGCCGCGCCCACCCGCGCCGCGGCGCCCUGCUGCCGGCGGUGGCGGCGCUCCUCCUGCUUUUCCUCGCCGUAUCGCUCCUCUCCAUCGCCAUCUCCGCGCCGCCGCUCGCGGACCGCCACCCCGGCAUCUCCCGCCGAUCCCUCCGCCACCCUCCGACGAGUCGAUGGACUGCGAGAGAUCUGUGGGGUUCGGAGCUCGCUAGCAACUUCUAUGGAUGCAGUCACUCUAGCGGAAAAUUUCUCGCCUUUUUAAAUCCUGCAGAUUCCAGUGUUGCCACGCAACCAGAUCGAUAUUUGCUUAUUGUUACAAGUGGAGGUCUGAAUCAGCAGAGAACAGGGAUAGUUGAUGCUGUAGUUGCUGCGCGCAUUUUAAACGCUACACUUGUUGUUCCCAAAUUGGACCAAACAUCUUUCUGGAAAGAUUCAAGCAAUUUUUCCGAAAUCUUUGAUAUCGACUGGUUCAUUUCAUUUCUUGCGAAGGAUGUCAAAAUUAUCAAAGAACCUCCACAAAAAGGAGGUAAAGCUGUGCGACCUUAUAAAAUGCGUAUACCCCGAAAGUGUACUCCACAAUGUUACUUGAAGCGUGUCUUGCCUGCACUUCUGAAGAAACAUGCUAUUCGACUGACUAAAUAUGACUAUAGGCUCUCAAAUAAGUUGGACACUGACCUACAAAAACUGCGCUGCAGAGUAAAUUACCAUGCUUUGAGAUUUACUGAUCCAAUAAAAGAGUUGGGUAAAAGGCUAAUACAGCGAAUGCGAGAGAAGAGCAGAUAUUUUAUUGCUCUUCAUCUGAGAUUUGAAAGUGACAUGCUUGCCUUUUCUGGGUGUUAUUAUGGUGGUGGAGAAAAGGAGAGAAGAGAUCUAGGUGCCAUUCGCAAGCGAUGGAAAACCUUGCAUACAAGUAACCCAGAGAAAGGAAGAAGGCAAGGUAGGUGCCCACUAACUCCGGAGGAGGUAGGGCUACUGUUGAGGGCAUUGGGCUAUGGAAGCAAUGUCCAUAUCUAUGCUGCUUCUGGUGAGAUAUAUGGAGGGGAAGAAACUUUGGCACCCCUCAAAGCGCUCUUCCCAAAUUACCAUACAAAAGAAUCAUUGUCAAGCAAAGAUGAGUUGACUCCAUUCUUGGCACACUCAUCCCGCAUGGCCGCAAUUGAUUUCAUUGUCUGUGAUGGAAGUGAUGCUUUUGUGACUAAUAAUAAUGGCAACAUGGCCAAAAUACUUGCUGAGCGGAGGAGAUAUUUUGGCCACAGGAGAACAAUCCGGCCAAAUGCCAAACAGCUCUACCACUUAUUUACAAACAGAGGAAAUAUGUCAUGGGACAAAUUCUCGUCGCAGGUGCGAAAAGUCCAGAAAGGAUUUAUGGGAGAUCCCAUGGAAGUGAAGCCAGGAAGAGGCGAAUUCCAUGCCUACCCUGCUGCGUGUAUAUGCGAGAAGACGGACGAAAAUAAAUCGAGCCCUGGUAGUAAUCAGGAAAUUGUUAACCGCACGGGAAUAAGGAAGGCCAUCGGUGAACCAGCCUAUCCUGUAUACACCGACGAAGAGGCGGAUGGAUCUGACACUGAAGACGAUCCCACAGGGACAGGAGAAGAAGAGAUGAUUACUGAAGAAGAUCCUGCCGCUGGAGAAGAGAUGGUCACUGAAGACGACCCCACUGCGACAGAAGAGGUAAUUGAUACCGAAGCUGAGGCCGACGAUGAUUCUUCGGUCAGACAGGAGGGUUCCGAGCUGGAGGAGAUCCUUUCGGAUUAA
Molecule: ribosomal RNA, 1761 nt
Filed under: Triticum aestivum (bread wheat)
Lineage: Eukaryota; Viridiplantae; Streptophyta; Magnoliopsida; Poales; Poaceae
Description: partial small subunit ribosomal RNA
Source: RNAcentral